GCCUGGGUGGCUCAGUCAGUUGAGCGUCUGACUUCGGCUCAGAUCAUGAUCUCACAGUUUGUGAGUUCGAGCCCCGCAUUGGGCU
RNAcentral lists this transfer RNA (85 nucleotides) under Felis catus (domestic cat). It matches the Rfam family "tRNA". Rfam says of the family: Transfer RNA (tRNA) molecules are approximately 80 nucleotides in length. Their secondary structure includes four short double-helical elements and three loops (D, anti-codon, and T loops). Lineage: Eukaryota; Metazoa; Chordata; Mammalia; Carnivora; Felidae. The record is from Rfam by way of RNAcentral.